Molecule: transfer RNA, 50 nt
Filed under: Sargassum confusum
Lineage: Eukaryota; Phaeophyceae; Fucales; Sargassaceae
Also listed under: 1 other name
Description: tRNA-Trp
Rfam family: tRNA
About the family: Transfer RNA (tRNA) molecules are approximately 80 nucleotides in length. Their secondary structure includes four short double-helical elements and three loops (D, anti-codon, and T loops).
Source: RNAcentral
GCGUCUUUAGUUCAGUUGGUAGAACAUAGGUCUCCAAAACCUAGUGUCGA